This 490-nucleotide ribosomal RNA is filed under the name uncultured bacterium. Its description in RNAcentral is "partial 16S ribosomal RNA". It matches the Rfam family "Bacterial small subunit ribosomal RNA", at positions 30 to 507 of the family's 1533-position model. The record is from RNAcentral.
AUUGAACGCUGGCGGCAGGCCUAACACAUGCAAGUCGAACGGUAACAGGAAGACGCUUGCUUCUUUGCUGACGAGUGGCGGACGGGUGAGUAAUGUCUGGGAAACUGCCUGAUGGAGGGGGAUAACUACUGGAAACGGUAGCUAAUACCGCAUAACGUCGCAAGACCAAAGAGGGGGACCUUCGGGCCUCUUGCCAUCGGAUGUGCCCAGAUGGGAUUAGCUAGUAGGUGGGGUAACGGCUCACCUAGGCGACGAUCCCUAGCUGGUCUGAGAGGAUGACCAGCCACACUGGAACUGAGACACGGUCCAGACUCCUACGGGAGGCAGCAGUGGGGAAUAUUGCACAAUGGCCGCAAGCCUGAUGCAGCCAUGCCGCGUGUAUGAAGAAGGCCUUCGGGUUGUAAAGUACUUUCAGCGGGGAGGAAGGGAGUAAAGUUAAUACCUUUGCUCAUUGACGUUACCCGCAGAAGAAGCACCGGCUAACUCCGUG